This 253-nucleotide ribosomal RNA is filed under the name uncultured bacterium. RNAcentral describes it as "partial 16S ribosomal RNA". It matches the Rfam family "Bacterial small subunit ribosomal RNA", at positions 524 to 776 of the family's 1533-position model. The record is from RNAcentral.
UACGAAGGGGGCUAGCGUUGCUCGGAAUCACUGGGCGUAAAGGGUGCGUAGGCGGGUCUUUAAGUCAGGGGUGAAAUCCUGGAGCUCAACUCCAGAGCUGCCCUUGAUACUGGCGGCCUUGAGUCCGGGAGAGGUGAGUGGAACUGCGAGUGUAGAGGUGAAAUUCGUAGAUAUUCGCAAGAACACCAGUGGCGAAGGCGGCUCACUGGCCCGGUACUGACGCUGAGGUGCGAAAGCGUGGGGAGCAAACAGG